AUUGAACGCUGGCGGCAGGCCUAACACAUGCAAGUCGAGCGGUAGAGAGAAGCUUGCUUCUCUUGAGAGCGGCGGACGGGUGAGUAAUGCCUAGGAAUCUGCCUGGUAGUGGGGGAUAACGUUCGGAAACGGACGCUAAUACCGCAUACGUCCUACGGGAGAAAGCAGGGGACCUUUGGGCCUUGCGCUAUCAGAUGAGCCUAGGUCGGAUUAGCUAGUUGGUGGGGUAAUGGCUCACCAAGGCGACGAUCCGUAACUGGUCUGAGAGGAUGAUCAGUCACACUGGAACUGAGACACGGUCCAGACUCCUACGGGAGGCAGCAGUGGGGAAUAUUGGACAAUGGGCGAAAGCCUGAUCCAGCCAUGCCGCGUGUGUGAAGAAGGUCUUCGGAUUGUAAAGCACUUUAAGUUGGGAGGAAGGGCAGUUGCCUAAUACGUAACUGUUUUGACGUUACCGACAGAAUAAGCACCGGCUAACUCUG
RNAcentral lists this ribosomal RNA (482 nucleotides) under uncultured bacterium. Its description in RNAcentral is "partial 16S ribosomal RNA". It matches the Rfam family "Bacterial small subunit ribosomal RNA", at positions 30 to 505 of the family's 1533-position model. The record is from RNAcentral.